RNAcentral lists this transfer RNA (84 nucleotides) under Akkermansiaceae bacterium. RNAcentral's name for it is "tRNA-Leu". It matches the Rfam family "tRNA". From Rfam's summary of the family: Transfer RNA (tRNA) molecules are approximately 80 nucleotides in length. Their secondary structure includes four short double-helical elements and three loops (D, anti-codon, and T loops). Lineage: Bacteria; Pseudomonadati; Verrucomicrobiota; Verrucomicrobiia; Verrucomicrobiales; Akkermansiaceae. The record is from RNAcentral.
GCUCGGGUGGCGGAAUUGGUAGACGCGCCAGACUAAGGAUCUGGUGGGAGCAAUCCUGUGGGGGUUCGAGUCCCCCCUCGAGCA